GACGAACGCUGGCGGCGUGCUUAACACAUGCAAGUCGAACGGAAAGGCCCUGCUUUUGGGGGGUGCUCGAGUGGCGAACGGGUGAGUAACACGUGAGUAACCUGCCCUUGACUUUGGGAUAACUUCAGGAAACUGGGGCUAAUACCGGAUAGGAGCUCCUGCUGCAUGGUGGGGGUUGGAAAGUUUCGGCGGUUGGGGAUGGACUCGCGGCUUAUCAGCUUGUUGGUGGGGUAGUGGCUUACCAAGGCUUUGACGGGUAGCCGGCCUGAGAGGGUGACCGGCCACAUUGGGACUGAGAUACGGCCCAGACUCCUACGGGAGGCAGCAGUGGGGAAUAUUGCACAAUGGGCGGAAGCCUGAUGCAGCAACGCCGCGUGCGGGAUGACGGCCUUCGGGUUGUAAACCGCUUUCGCCUGUGACGAAGCGUGAGUGACGGUAAUGGGUAAAGAAGCACCGGCUAACUACGUGCCAGCAGCCGCGGUGAUACGUAGGGUGCGAGCGUUGUCCGGAUUUAUUGGGCGUAAAGGGCUCGUAGGUGGUUGAUCGCGUCGGAAGUGUAAUCUUGGGGCUUAACCCUGAGCGUGCUUUCGAUACGGGUUGACUUGAGGAAGGUAGGGGAGAAUGGAAUUCCUGGUGGAGCGGUGGAAUGCGCAGAUAUCAGGAGGAACACCAGUGGCGAAGGCGGUUCUCUGGGCCUUUCCUGACGCUGAGGAGCGAAAGCGUGGGGAGCGAACAGGCUUAGAUACCCUGGUAGUCCACGCUGUAAACGGUGGGUACUAGGUGUGGGGUCCAUUCCACGGGUUCCGUGCCGUAGCUAACGCUUUAAGUACCCCGCCUGGGGAGUACGGCCGCAAGGCUAAAACUCAAAGGAAUUGACGGGGCCCCGCACAAGCGGCGGAGCAUGCGGAUUAAUUCGAUGCAACGCGUAGAACCUUACCUGGGUUUGACAUGGAUCGGGAGUGCUCAGAGAUGGGUGUGCCUCUUUUGGGGUCGGUUCACAGGUGGUGCAUGGCUGUCGUCAGCUCGUGUCGUGAGAUGUUGGGUUAAGUCCCGCAACGAGCGCAACCCUUGUUCACUGUUGCCAGCACGUUAUGGUGGGGACUCAGUGGAGACCGCCGGGGUCAACUCGGAGGAAGGUGGGGAUGACGUCAAGUCAUCAUGCCCCUUAUGUCCAGGGCUUCACGCAUGCUACAAUGGCUGGUACAGAGAGUGGCGAGCCUGUGAGGGUGAGCGAAUCUCGGAAAGCCGGUCUCAGUUCGGAUUGGGGUCUGCAACUCGACCUCAUGAAGUCGGAGUCGCUAGUAAUCGCAGAUCAGCAACGCCGCGGUGAAUACGUUCCCGGGGCU
RNAcentral lists this ribosomal RNA (1346 nucleotides) under uncultured bacterium. RNAcentral describes it as "partial 16S ribosomal RNA". It matches the Rfam family "Bacterial small subunit ribosomal RNA", at positions 28 to 1381 of the family's 1533-position model. The record is from RNAcentral.